UACGUAGGCGGAAUAAUAAGUCAGUGGUGAAAUCCCGCAGCUCAACUGUGGAACUGUCAUUGAUACUGGUUUUCUUGAAUAUAGUUGAGGUAGGCGGAAUGUGUAAUGUAGCGGUGAAAUGCUUAGAUAUUACACAGAACACCGAUUGCGAAGGCAGCUUACUAAACUAUGAUUGACGCUGAGGUACGAAAGCGUGGGGAGCGAACAGGAUUAGAUACCCUGGUAGUCC
Molecule: ribosomal RNA, 229 nt
Filed under: uncultured bacterium
Lineage: Bacteria
Description: partial 16S ribosomal RNA
Rfam family: Bacterial small subunit ribosomal RNA
Source: RNAcentral